RNAcentral lists this transfer RNA (87 nucleotides) under Plectranthus zeylanicus. RNAcentral describes it as "tRNA-Leu". It matches the Rfam family "tRNA". From Rfam's summary of the family: Transfer RNA (tRNA) molecules are approximately 80 nucleotides in length. The record is from RNAcentral. Lineage: Eukaryota; Viridiplantae; Streptophyta; Magnoliopsida; Lamiales; Lamiaceae.
GGGGGAUAUGGCGAAAUCGGUAGACGCUACGGACUUGGAAAAUCCGUCGACUUUAAAAAUCGUGAGGGUUCAAGUCCCUCUAUCCCC